AGGGGAUUGGUGUAAUGGUAGCACGACUGAUUCUGGUUCAGUUAGUCAGGGUUCGAGUCCUUGAUCCCCUG
Molecule: transfer RNA, 71 nt
Filed under: Phycisphaerales bacterium
Lineage: Bacteria; Pseudomonadati; Planctomycetota; Phycisphaerae; Phycisphaerales
Description: tRNA-Gln
Rfam family: tRNA
About the family: Transfer RNA (tRNA) molecules are approximately 80 nucleotides in length. Their secondary structure includes four short double-helical elements and three loops (D, anti-codon, and T loops).
Source: RNAcentral